This 337-nucleotide unclassified non-coding RNA is filed under the name soil metagenome. Its description in RNAcentral is "partial contains 5.8S ribosomal RNA, internal transcribed spacer 2, and large subunit ribosomal RNA". The stretch from base 5 to 119 matches the Rfam family "5.8S ribosomal RNA", at positions 40 to 154 of the family's 154-position model. The record is from RNAcentral.
GAUGAGAACGCAGCGAAAUGCGAUAACUAAUGUGAAUUGCAGAAUUCAGUGAAUCAUCGAGUCUUUGAACGCACAUUGCGCCCCCUGGUAUUCCGGGGGGCAUGCCUGUCCGAGCGUCAUUGCUGCCCUCAAGCACGGCUUGUGUGUUGGGCUCCGUCCCCCCGGGGACGGGCCCGAAAGGCAGCGGCGGCACCGAGUCCGGUCCUCGAGCGUAUGGGGCUUUGUCACCCGCUCUGUAGGCCCGGCCGGCGCCAGCCGACAACCCAUCAUCCUUUUCAGGUUGACCUCGGAUCAGGUAGGGAUACCCGCUGAACUUAAGCAUAUCAAUAAGCGAGGA